AGGUUAGCUUUCUUCUCAUGGAGAAACCUGUCAGGUGUCCACAAACACCAGCUUUUCCAAAUUGCCAGUUUUGUUUUUUUUUUUUUUCCCCAGGUGUGCCCUUUGAGAGACUGGCUUAGGUGUGAAGGUGUCCCAGGCUCCAGGCUGAGUGGGUCCUGGGUUUGGAGCCUAGGCCAUGUGUCCACACUAGAGGGCACCAGGCUGGGUGAGAAGGACUUCCUCCUCCAUGGGAGGAGUGGGGAAUGGAGAGCUGGGCAGUGGCAUUUGGGAGGACGAGUAAGAGACAAUCGGGCCAUCUCUGCCAUUGACCUUGACUGCAGCUGCUGCCAAAACUAGAGACCUCUGCGUGAGCCCAGCACCCUGGCAUUCAGUCAGGGUGUUGGUGACACAAGAAUUCUGGGUAAACAGAGGGGGCUGGUUUCUGGCUUCAGUUUCUGGGAUUCUGGAAAUGAGAAACUGCUGAGAAAGCCAGACAGGGACUCAGUGAGAGUGGAUUAAAAUCUUGGGAUCAGCCCUGCCUGCUCAUGGCGGAGUAGCCUUGGCUACUGGUACAGCAUGGCCUCUAUACCUGUGCCUCAGUUUCCUUGUUAGUUUUUUUGUUGUUGUUGUUGUUACUGGGUAUUGAGCCCAGGUGUGCUUAACCACCGAGCCACUUCCCCAGCUGCUUUUUAUAUUUUACUUAGAGACAGGGUUUCACUGAGUUGCUUAGCGCCUCACUAAUUUGCUAAGGCUGGCUUUGAACUUUUUUUUUUUUAAGAGAGAGAGAGAGAGGAGAGAGAGUUUUUUAAUAUUUAUUUUUCAGUUUUCGGUGGACACCACAUCUUUAUUUUAUUUGUAUGUGGUGCUGAGGACUGAACCCAGCGCCCCGCGCAUGCCAGGCGAGUGCUAUCGCUUGAGCCACAUCCCCAGCCCAUGGCUUUGAACUCUUGAUCCUCCUGCCUCAGCCCUCCGGCCGCUGGGAUGACAGGAGUGGGCCACCACACCAGCCUCCUUGUCAGUUAAAAGGGAAAAUCCAUACCUACCUCAGGGGGUUGUUAAAAGGAUAAAGGGACCUGAGACCCUUAGCACCCUAAGGGCACAUUGAAAUCUUUCCAAAAAGCCGGCUUCUGGGUGCAUCAGAAGAGAGAUGUGGUGUGGAGAGGUCAGACCUCCUGACCCUGAGUCCUCCUGGUCACUUCCUGUGCCUCACUAGACCCCUGAGUCAAACUGCUGGAGGCCCAAGGGUGAGUGUCUUUCCUGUCCCUGUCGAUUCUACUCCUGGACUCCCUUCUCAGGCUUUCCAUGUUAUGGUUUUAAGUAUUUCUGCAAACUUGUUUACUGCUCCCUUCUUCAGAAAGGGAGCCUAUUCCCCUCCCCUCGACGGUGAGCCAGACUUGGUCCCUCAAUUCUAAAGAGAGGAUGUGGUAGAAGGCUGCCAUGUGACCUCAAGGUUGGGUCCUUAGAGACAGCCACUGCCUCCCCCUUUCUCUUGCUGCCCGACUGACACCUGCGCUGUGCCCUCCUGAGAGGCCUGAGUCAGAGCUGCCUGGCUGUGCUUCUCUUGGAUGCCUGAGGGGCAGACUAGGCUGAUUGGGUUUGUUUCCAUUGUGCAUGUUUUUAUUAUUGUGCUGUCUAUGAAUACGCAGGCUAGAUAACCCAGCCCAUCUCCUUGGAGUUCACUGACCUGUGUGUCUCUUGUCCCCUGCAAAGGCAGCGACACCUGGCAGGUCAGGAGCAAAACCCCAAAGAGAAAAAAAUGUUGGCUCCCUGAGAAGAGCUAAGCGAAACUCUGAAGCCACCCAUGGCUCAGCGGAGAGGUCAGUGGGGACAUUGGCAUCAGCAAGCAACCGCCUUGCCUCAAAGGACAGGGAGGGCCCUGGGACCCUGAACACAGCCGGCGAGCAGCCACAGCAGGCCUGGUUUCUGGAAGGGUCUCCACUGAGUGGCUGUUCUACCAUCAGCUGUCCUCUCUUCACAGAGAAAAAGCAUGGCCCCAGCCUGGUCUGAGCAAAGCAGUGUGCCGAGGGAGG
This 2009-nucleotide long non-coding RNA is filed under the name Marmota monax (woodchuck). The record is from RNAcentral. Lineage: Eukaryota; Metazoa; Chordata; Mammalia; Rodentia; Sciuridae.